Molecule: ribosomal RNA, 495 nt
Filed under: uncultured bacterium
Lineage: Bacteria
Description: bacterial SSU rRNA
Rfam family: Bacterial small subunit ribosomal RNA
Source: RNAcentral
AACGAACGCUGGCGGCGCGCCUAAUACAUGCAAGUCGAGCGAGAAGACGUAGCAAUACGUUUGUAAAGCGGCGAACGGGUGAGGAAUACAUGGGUAACCUACCCUCGAGUGGGGAAUAACUAGCCGAAAGGUUAGCUAAUACCGCGUACGCUCCUUGGACUUCGGUUCAGGGAGGAAAGCGAUACCGUGGGUAUCGCGCUCUUGGAUGGGCUCAUGUCCUAUCAGCUUGUUGGGAGGUAACGGCUCACCAAGGCUUCGACGGGUAGCUGGUCUGAGAGGACGAUCAGCCACACUGGCACUGCGACACGGGCCAGACUCCUACGGGAGGCAGCAGUAAGGAAUAUUGCGCAAUGGGCGAAAGCCUGACGCAGCGACGCCGCGUGGGGGAUGAAGGUCUUCGGAUUGUAAACCCCUUUCGGGAGGGAAGAUGGAACGAGCAAUCGUUCGGACGGUACCUCCAGAAGCAGCCACGGCUAACUUCGUGCCAGCAGCCGC